UACGUAGGUGGCGAGCGUUGUCCGGAAUAACUGGGCGUAAAGGGAGCGUAGGUGGUAUGGUAAGUUAGAUGUGAAAGCCCAAGGCUCAACUUUGGAAUAGCAUCUAAAACUAUCAAACUAGAGUGCAGGAGGGGUAAACGGAAUUCCUAGUGUAGCGGUGAAAUGCGUAGAUAUUAGGAGGAACACCAGUGGCGAAGGCGGCUUACUGGACAGUAACUGACGUUGAGGCUCGAAAGCGUGGGGAGCAAACAGG
RNAcentral lists this ribosomal RNA (253 nucleotides) under uncultured bacterium. Its description in RNAcentral is "partial 16S ribosomal RNA". It matches the Rfam family "Bacterial small subunit ribosomal RNA", at positions 524 to 776 of the family's 1533-position model. The record is from RNAcentral.